This 1782-nucleotide long non-coding RNA is filed under the name Androctonus crassicauda. Lineage: Eukaryota; Metazoa; Arthropoda; Arachnida; Scorpiones; Buthidae. The record is from RNAcentral.
UGUACAUUUAAACAUAUAUAUUGUAGAUAAAUUUAUUAAUACACAUCUGGAAAUUUUUAAAGUAGUAAAAAAAUUUUUAUUAUUUAUUAUUUGACUAUAAAAGUAUGUCUAUUGUUGUUAAUAUAAGUCAAUCUAAAAAAAUAACAUCAAUUACAAUAUUAGUAAUUUUUAAACUGCAUUUAUAUGCUAAUGUAUAUAAAUAAUUAGAAUAAGUAUAUUCAUUACAAAAAUGGAAUCGGAUAUAUAGUUGACGUCUAUUAUGAAAUUGUUUACAGUGCACAAAUGUUUUGUGUAACCUCUUGUAACAACGCUCACUAAAAAUAUUUCUGAAAUUCUUCUGGACGUGAUGGAAUGGGAGAAGUGAAGGUCAGCAACUGAUAGGUGGUUCCCAAAUACAUUGACGGUGACUCACUUUAAAGUAGGUUUAUCUCAGUGAAGGAUAUAUCUGGCAGCGUGUGCCAACAUGCCUUAAAUAACUUUACAAUUUCCUACCGAAAGAAUUAAGCUAUUGGAUUUUAAAGAUCCUGUUAAGUUCCUAACAAAGUUCCGCUUUUGCAAAUCAGAUGGCGCGAUGCUCGAAAUAUCCAAUUUAGAGUAAUGGUGAGAUUUUUAUUUAAAGAAAAGAAUUCUUCAAUAUUUCCAACUACUAUUUUUCCCCUCUCUACAGAUAAAUUCGGUAUCUUUAAAUCAGUUUUGUUUCCUCUUCAUUUUCUUUCUGCUGGAUAUCGUCCAAACGAAUUCCAACUGCAUAGCGAUAAAAGAACAGCACAGUGGCCAAGGUCAAGCCAAAUUAUAGUCUAGUUAGAGUAUGGCGCCGACAGCCUGUUUUUGUGUGCAAAACAUUAAGUUUUUAUAUUGGACAAAAUGUCUAUAUAUCCGGGAUAUUCGAUAUAGCCUUUUAAUUUAUAACAACUAAUAAAAACCUGUGCUAUUUAUUUUCGAACUCAACUGUGAAUGUUCUCAUCGCAAACUCAUCAAAAAAUGAUGUCAUUCAAAUGUCUGUCUAUUGAUUGUUUUUGCGAAUUUAUUGAAUCAAUAACAUUAAACUUCAGAUAUGCAAAUUAUAUUAUUGUAUAAUAUUCGUUCAUAUACUGUGUCUAUUUAUGAACCAGUAAACUAAACAUAUUUAAAAACUAUAUGAUGCAUAAAGUGUUGGUGUCGGCCUUAUUGCAUUACGGCUUUUGAUGUAUCCAUUCAGUUCAUGCUUAUAACAUAUCACAAUUAGAGCGAAUGUGUGCCGUUGUUUGGGGAAUACCUCAAUGAUCUUAACUUUCUAACUUUAUAAAGCUAAAAAUAAACAAUCUACAUGAGUUAGCAUUUUCCACCCUAAAAUUGCCAAAUAAAAUCAAAUGAAAGAAGAGGAAAACUUGAUAUUUUGCAGUUUAUAUUCCAGAUAUUUUUGAGUAUAUAUAGAAUAGCAUUAUUAAAAUUUUGAUUUAUUUAUUUAAAUUUGCAGAAUUAAUAUAUGAUAUAUUUUUUUAUUUUACAUACUAUUGGCAUGUAAAAUAAAGCUGGUUUCCUUUUAAUAGCACAAUUUGAACAGUUGUGCGUGGGUGUUAAACAUAAAAUUAAAUAUAUAUAACAUAGGAUUCAACCUACGCGUAAAAGAAUAACAGAUAGAAAUUUUCCUUAUUUUUCAUUUAAAAUAUAUAUUUAACUGCAUUUCUACUGAAAAUAUUUUUAAAAUUUUUUAUUUUAAAUUCUCGUAUUAAUUUCUCAUUUUUUUAAAUAUUGUUUUAAAGUAUAAUUUUACAGCAUCAAAGUAAGUUAUAGAUAAUAAAU